GGCCCGAGUUGUAAUUUGCAGAGGAUGCUUUUGGUGCGGUGCCUUCCAAGUUCCCUAGAACGGGACGCCAGAGAGGGUGAGAGCCCCGUACAGUUGGACACCAAGCCUUUGUAAAGCUCCUUCGACGAGUCGAGUAGUUUGGGAAUGCUGCUCAAAAUGGGAGGUAUAUUUCUUCUAAAGCUAAAUACCGGCCAGAGACCGAUAGCGCACAAGUAGAGUGAUCGAAAGAUGAAAAGCACUUUGAAAAGAGGGUUAAACAGCACGUGAAAUUGUUAAAAGGGAAGCGCUUGUGACCAGACUUGCGUCCGGUGAAUCACCCAGCUCUCGCGGCUGGGGCACUUCGCCGGCUCAGGCCAGCAUCAGCUCGCUGUCGGGGACAAAAGCUUCAGGAACGUAGCUCUCUUCGGGGAGUGUUAUAGCCUGUUGCACAAUACCCUUCGGCGGGCUGAGGUACGCGCUCCGCAAGGAUGCUGGCAUAAUGGUCAUCAGCGACCCGUCUUGAAACACGGACCAAGGAGUCAACCUUAUGUGCGAGUGUUCG
RNAcentral lists this ribosomal RNA (541 nucleotides) under Colletotrichum sp. ETHCTR167. RNAcentral describes it as "eukaryotic LSU rRNA". It matches the Rfam family "Eukaryotic large subunit ribosomal RNA", at positions 135 to 696 of the family's 3401-position model. The record is from RNAcentral. Lineage: Eukaryota; Fungi; Ascomycota; Sordariomycetes; Glomerellales; Glomerellaceae.